UACGUAGGGGCCGAGCGUUGUUCGGAGUUACUGGGCGUAAAGGGCGCGUAGGCGGCGCUCCAAGUUAGGCGUGAAAGCCCCGGGCUCAACCUGGGAAUAGCGCUUAAGACUGGAGUGCUCGAGUGCGGAAGAGGUGAGUGGAAUUCCCAGUGUAGAGGUGAAAUUCGUAGAUAUUGGGAAGAACACCAGUGGCGAAGGCGGCUCACUGGUCCGCAACUGACGCUGAGGCGCGAAAGCGUGGGGAGCAAACAGG
This 253-nucleotide ribosomal RNA is filed under the name uncultured bacterium. Its description in RNAcentral is "partial 16S ribosomal RNA". It matches the Rfam family "Bacterial small subunit ribosomal RNA", at positions 524 to 776 of the family's 1533-position model. The record is from RNAcentral.